RNAcentral lists this long non-coding RNA (4943 nucleotides) under Cricetulus griseus (Chinese hamster). RNAcentral describes it as "lncRNA (ENSCGRG00015043207.1)". Lineage: Eukaryota; Metazoa; Chordata; Mammalia; Rodentia; Cricetidae. The record is from RNAcentral.
CUGCACUUGACAGUGGCGGUCGCCGGGCAGCCGAGCGGGCGCAGCGGCGGAGCGCGGCGCGGGAGGCAGGGAGGGCGCAAUUCGGCAGCCCCGGGUGGAGGAGCUGGCGGCGGCAGUGCGAUGCUGCGGGUGUCCCCGGGCUCUGGCAUCGCAGCCUCUUCCUAAGGUACCAGCUCUGUUCAACCUCCUUCCCCCCCUCCUCGCGCCGGGAGACCCGCGCGCCUGGGCAGUGGCUUUGUGGAGCCGGUGGGUGGGGCUGGGCGGGGCCGCACCGUCGGGUCGCUUCCCUCCGAGGAAGAGGUGGGGGAGGAGGGCCGUCUCUCCUGCAGCUGAAGGCAUCCCCACGCUACGUGCUCUGCUCCUCCUGCCUCGUUGCGUUUUCGAGGAGGGUUUGUUCCGGGACAAAGUUAGGUGCGGAGAGUUUGAUGGAUCCCUGGUUCCCGGGGCCCUGGAGGGACCCGUGACACACUGCCCUGUGCACCUACACCAUGCGCUGAACUGGAGCGCAGCGGACUCGUGCGCUUUCCCACACGAGCAGCCCUGCUCACUUGGAACGUUGCAAGAAGAAAUUGCUCUGUGGGACUCUCCCCGUGGGGAGAAGGCUUUCUGCAGUCGCAUCUACAGUCCAACCUGGUGGCUUUUGCUUGGCCACGGUGCCCCAGGAUAAACUGGGUUUAACCGGUGGCCUGUAAAAUAGUCUUCAUCAAGAUCUAUGCUUUACAGGAUUCAAAUCUAAGCCUAUUUUACUUUUGAACCAAAGAUCCCAGGCUCGUUGAGGAAAACCAGCCAGCUCCGUGUGUUGCAUUUAAUAUUUUAUUGCUCAUUGGUCACCACAGAAAGCACUGCUGGACCAGUGAUGGGAAGAUGAACAAUUAUGUCAACAGAAAGGGUGGUGACCAUGACAACUCUGAAGCAAUCCCAGGGAACCAGCACCUUGAAUUCUCAUUGCCCAGAGAACCCCAGUCUACAUCGUUACAGCUGGGCCUGCAAAGAUACAUCGGCUUCCAUCCCAGUGAUUGUGGGUUUCUGAGACGCAUCCAGGCUGCCCACUGAGGGGAGAAUAAUUGGUGUAGGUGGAAGGUCACCACAGAGUAUCUCCAGCUCCACAGUUAAAUUGUAGUACUGUGAAGAUAGACAAGGGCUGGGUCUUUUAUCUAACAGGAAAUAAUUUUAAUUGAAUCUUUUUAGUUAUAUACCAAUAAAAUUUAAACAUAAUUGCCUUUGUUAAGUAUUGUUAGCAUGAGGCUGAGUAAUGGAAAUUACAAAGAAAAUUUAAAACUUGCUUACUGAAUAUAGAGAAUGGAAUGAUAGAAAACUAACUCCACAAUUUUGGGGGAUGUUCUGUUAACUCAGAUCUGUUUUAACCUGGUGUAAUAAGAAACACAGAAAUGAUGGUCAUUGAGCAAGAUGUUUUUAUUACUCAUGUCCUCUUAGAAGGCUAGCUUGGCACAGUCACCAGGGCUUCCACACACAGAAACACCAGGCCAGAAGGCAGAAGGAGGGCGGGGUAGUAUGGACAGGAACAGGAGAGACAGGGUAGAGGGUAGGAGCUGGUUAGUUUGAAUCAUUUAAGCAGGAAGUCUGGAGAGGGGCAGUCCCUGGUGGUUCAUACCUGGCCCUGGGGUUAUAGUGGCCCACAGUGUGUGUGCUACUGAAGGAGGUGGGAUGGGCUCUGAUUAGUUAGCAAGGCCCUGUGGAUGUCAGAAUAUCAGGAUACAGAAACUGAAAACUGUCGUUAACACAUGAGGGUUUUAUUUUAAUGGUUAACUAAUGAAUUAGGCCUGUAGAUACAUAGAAUGUCCUAUAAAAGAAGCAGAAACACCUACCUUGGGGUCUGAUGGAUGUACUUACUCAGUAAACAUUAAUUAUAUCUGAGUCAUCAUGCCAGAUGGUCCAGCCAUGCUGCUCUUGGUCCUUAAUGGCCAUGGUAGUCAGGUGUGCAGUGUUUAUCCUGAGAAAGCCAGAGAGUGUGUACUGUAUAAUAAAGAUCCCCAUGGGUAAGCCAUCAGAAUGAAAAGGAGGCAUAACAUGUAUGUCCACUAAAAGCUAACAAACCAUUAACUCUGGGCUGUUGUGGCUGCCUGUAAUAAGACCCCUCAUAGAUCAAGGAGCUCAAAACUCUAGCCUGGAGAUAUUUGCAGUUGAUUGGUUAUGAGGGACAGAGAGUCAUUUUUCUUUGGGAUCAAGGUCACUGGUAGAUUGUCUGUGCUCCAGUGGAUGUCCCCACCCUGUGUGCAUGAACGUUUUUAAGUAUUUUCCACUUGCAACCUCUUGUCAGCCAACAAACUUUUACUUGACCCAGAAUGUAGAGGUGUCUUCAUUACUCUUCUAUUGCUGUGAAUAGAUGCCAUGAUCAAAGCAAUUUUUACAGAAGAAAGCCUUUAAUUGGAGUCUUGCUUGCUUACAGUUUCAGAGGUUUAGUUCAUUAUCAUCACGGUGGGGAGCAUGGUGGCAGGCAUGGCACUGGAGCUGAGAGCAAAUCCUGAUUUGUCCACAGAGAGAGAGAGACUGGGCUUAGCAGGGCUUUUGAAACCUUAAAGCCCAUCCCCAACAACACCCUUCCUCCAACAAGGCCACAUCUACUCAAACAAGACCACGCCUCCUAAUCCUUCUAAUUCUCAAAUAGUGCCACUCCUUGGUGACUAAGUAUUCAAAUAUAUGAGCCUAUGGGGGCCAUUCUUAUUCAAACUACACAGUAGGUAUAUGAAAUAGGCACAAAAAUGAAGCAUUUACUAAUAAUAAAUAAAAUUUUAUUUUAAAACAAUUCUUUGAUUCACACAUACAUUUACUAUUUAUUAAAGAUGACAGCAAAUUUGCAUACUAAUAAGAUGGAUCUGCUUGUUGUUUUGACAUAAAGAAUCAAAUUGUGGACUAAAUUUUAGGUCCUACAGGACACGGUACAUCCUCAGUGUUUUCCAGAGUUGAUCGAGAUUUUGACUGAUUCUCAAUACUGACAAUACUGUUUCUCAUAAAUGCAUAGUAUAAAAUAGUAGGGGUGUGUUAGGACCAUCUUAGAAAUGGUUGGAAAUUCUGUUUUAAACUUAGGCCAAAAUUCUUUAGUGAUUUCCUUUUUUUAUGACACUCAAGUCAGCAACACAAACAGCAAUUUUUAAAAUCAAUCAUUCUAAGAACAGGGUCCAAAGGUACACUAACAGGAGAACUGUGUGGUGGGGGGUGAUGGUAGGAAAAUAUUAAAAAGUCUUUGUUUCCCAUAACUAGGCUAUUUAAUUCUAUAAAAACAAAAGGCUUUGCAUGCUCAUUAAGAACUCUACAAUGGACAAUGUGCUGCAGUCUCAAAUUGGAGUGGAGAUAUUUUGAGCUCUGUCCCUUGGCAGGUGGUGAUGGCACGUGCCGUGCAGAGCAUGCUGUAUGUUCACUACCAACAUCGCAGUGAAGUCGCAGGACAUAGCACAGGCGAAUGCUGCUAGAAACACCUCAGACUUGUACAGGUUUGCUUUGGGAUUCACUUUUGCUUGCUGUGUGUUCAGAAGCCUUUUUACUGUGGCUCACUCUUGUGAUUCACAGUUUAAGCAACUGGGUCCCAAGCAGUGAUGUGACUAUUGGAAUUUACUAGUGUUUACAUUAUAUUGAGUACUGUAAAUCUUCUCUAGGUGUAUGUAGGGCAAAAUGCAUAUAAACCUAUGAAAAUCUACACCACUGUAUUUAAGCAUCCAUGAAUUUUGGUAUCCCUGGGGGUCCAGUUCCCUGUUGAUACGGUGGGUGAUGAUAUUGGGUGUUCAGGGAAUUAAGCAGAUCUGGACUAGCUGUCCCUUUGUGCACAACAUGAGAGGCAAUCAAUGUUUGUGGAAGGCUGUGUGGUUAGUCUCACCCCAAGGGCUUUGCAUUUCCUGUUUAGAUUGUUUAUUCUCCCAUGUGGUGUGGCCAGUUAUUGUGGCUGUCUUACAGACCAGGGAACUGAAGAACAAACACGUUAGGUCUUUUCCCAAAGUCACCUUGACAGUCAGUCAGUGAUUGGGUUGGAAAAAGAGCCCAGCAUAUCCCAAGAACUGUCACUUCAGCACUGGGCAGUGCUGUGCAUGGGCACAUGGGCUACCUUGUCUGUUACAAGGAUUAAUUGGCUCUACACUGUACAGACAUUUGCAUCAGGCAUCCAAUGCACAGAUGCUUCCAAUGCUACUGCUGAUUUGGGAAUCACUCUUGUGUAAAGGUCUAGUGAACCUUGAUGUUUUCUCUCAGAUUCCGCCCAGCCAUGUCCACUGUCAAGGCAAGGCUUCCCUUGCCCUUGGUCAUCAAACACAUGCACAACUCCCUUCCCUACUUCUCCAAGUCCUACUUAGAACUCUUUUCCCCAGAAACUCAUCUCUUCUCACAUGAACAAUUGGACAAGUGUGGGAGGCAGAAGGAAAAUGAGGCACUUUUAAAUGCAGGGGAGCAGAAUGCUCUCUAUUCCCUGCAGAAGGCUGCACCCACUCCUAUAGCAGUAGAAUCGAAUCCCCCAAAAGUAGAACAAGAGGAAUGCUUCCAUUCAAGACUCAUGUGCCAAGACUAGGAGCAGUCAUCUUUAUUUGCCAGCCUUUGAAUUCUAAAUGUGUUUUCUUCUCCAGUAGCAAGAAGACCAUAUUUAGCUUCCUGUGUCUAUUGAAGCAAUAACUAAACAGUGUAUUUAAUAGCAGAGUCCACAGCUCCAAGUACCCAGCAGAUCUUGAAUUUUCUUGCAAAUAUACUGGAGCCGGCCAGUGAAGUUGUCACUGUGCCCCCUAGCCUUUCCUUAAAGAAAUCUUGAGGCACUUGGGAAUUUUGAGAAAUAGUUUUCACAUUGCUCUUUAAUUCUCACAAGUCCCUAGUCGGUAAGUGACUUCUAGUCAAUGCGAUUUCAAAUUUUUAAAAAAUGAAACUUAAUGCAUUUUUGUAGGUGUAUGUGUGUGUGAUGUGCAUACAUGUGUAUGUGUCCAUGCAUGUAUAGGUAGGUGUGUGUGUGUGUG